UUUCUUUGGAUUAUUUCAUAUAAGUAUAGAAUGAUGCCAUCAUGUAUACAUCUAUGAUCUAUGUUUUCAUGGUCCUUGUAUUAUAAAUCAAUCCUCUUCUACUCUACAGUCUAAACCAUUAUAUUACUAAGGGGUUGUGAUCUUGCACCGUGCUAUUACAAGGCAUCGAUGACAAUUCGCACAAAUUUGUGUGUACAAUAGAAGCCAAUAAUGCAGGCGAGACAAAAUAAUAUGUAUAGUUCGAUAGCAUAUAUGAGCGUUUACAAGGUUAUGGGCGUGGAACAUACGUGCAUUCAGUUUCGGACUUGAGACAAGGACAUGGAUAGCCCUAACAACAAAUGGAUUGAUUGAAGAAGAGCAUACAAGUUAACUUCAUUCAUUGAUUUUUUUCUUUACUUUUGGUUAGAAUAUGUGAAGGAGAUGAUGUGGAUACCUUGUACCACAUAUUCAAUUCCAAAGGAUAAGGACAGAAAUAAAGACGAUGGUAAAGAGAUCAACAUGCCAUCCAAUGUAGAUAAAGAGAGCAAUUCAUACCACCACCACCUUAUCCCUCUAUCAUCAUCCUUUGCCUUUCAUCCAUUGCAUGGGCAAAACUCACCCAUGCAACCAAAUAUUAUUUACAAAGGUAAUUAUGUCAUCAAAAAUCCUAUAUUCGCCAACACGAAAACUGAACGACAAAUAUACACAUUGUCGGUAUGGGAUUUGUUCCCCGAAAUUUGUUAACAAGUUAAAUCGUAACGAUCAACUUCUAGGAUAAUUACGUUAGUUAACAAAAUUUACUAAACUAGAAGAAAAUUGACUAUAGUAACUAAAGAAUGUUUGACCCUCUUUAUUUGGUUAAAAAAUAUGAACCAGAACUGGACCAACAAAACUUUUUUCAAAAUUCAAAAAGAAAAUGCUUCUAGAUAGUUCAUCCCGAGGGGUCAUUUUCUAUUCCUGGAGGCCACAUAUUGACAUUCAUGGUAAAGAUAUCAUGAUUAAUCUCACACCUAUCAUGUAUACAUCCUCCAUCCAUGACCAUUCAUCCAUGAUCAUCAUCACUUAACUAAUAUAUGCCUGCCUAGAUCUAGUGAGGUGUAUGAACUUGCAUUAUUGUUAUUAUCAUUAUUUGGUUGGAAUGUUAAAACCAGAUUAUCACUUGAAACAGAAUCCAUCUGUGGUAUGUAUAUAUGUUGUUUAGAUGUGUAAUAAAUAUUAUUAUAAUCACUUUAAUGAAUCUUUGAAGUGUUUAAAGGAUUAAAAGAUAAAACCAUAAAAAAUGAAAUCAAUGUAAAAUAAGAAUAUAUACGUCACAAAUUAUGCUAAAUUUUUUGUACAUUAAUUAUAUGUUAGUUAAUUUAUUGUAACCCUAUUUUCACAUGAAAUCACUACUAAAAAAGGAUAUGUUAUUUCGAAUAUAGUUCAAUUCUAAAAGUGAACCAGUUUUAAAGUCUUUUUCUAAAAAGCAUCUAUUGCACAUGAUAUAUAGGGUAAAAAGGACCGGGGUAUAAUAUCCUCAAAGGUGCAACAAAAAAUUAAAAUUUAAUAAUUAUCGUACUUUAAACAUGCUUCAAGUGGUAUUUGUGUUUCGAGUUUUUAUCUUGUUAUAUGCAGCCGUUAAAAAAAAAUGUUUCAAUUAAUUUCUUAAUAUUGUUUGGAAAUAUGUACGAGUAUCUUUGAAAACUGAUAUACUUCGUCUCCACUUAUUUUUUAUUAGAGCACCCAUAAUCUACAAACCUUCAGAACCAAAACAAAUUGUCACCUCAGCAUCAUAUUAGAUUUACAAACCUCAACAAACUCUACAUCAUCACCUACUUUUACCACAUCAGACACACAUUGUUGGUAGUAGGGUCCCACUCAAGAAAUCCGUUGGAGGUCCGGACUGUCGGACAUGACAAUAACUGAACAAGGGCUACUAUGUAACUGGACGAGGGAUAAGGUACGCGGACUAGUACACGUGAGAACCGGACGAGUAAAAUGCCCACAUUGUGGGUGCUCUUAAAAAGGUUUAGCACUCAUUUAACCAUACUUUAUGUAGCUUAUGAUAUGUUUAACUUCGAUUGGCUAGCUUAGAGGUUGUUUAGAUCUAUAGAAAUCCAUGUUAAUAUAACAUUAAAGACACAUGUUUGCAACAACGGUCAUGAUGUGUUAGUGUGUGACAUAUACAUAAUACACAUAUGCAAGAUACCCGUGGCGACCAGUAAAGGCAUGGGCCCGAACCUUUUUUAAU
RNAcentral lists this long non-coding RNA (2209 nucleotides) under Helianthus annuus (common sunflower). Lineage: Eukaryota; Viridiplantae; Streptophyta; Magnoliopsida; Asterales; Asteraceae. The record is from RNAcentral.